CAGUAGCCGCGGUAAUACGAAGGGGGCUAGCGUUAUUCGGAUUUACUGGGCGUAAAGCGCACGUAGGCGGACUUUUAAGUCAGGGGUGAAAUCCCGGGGCUCAACCCCGGAACUGCCUUUGAUACUGGGAGUCUUGAGUUCGAGAGAGGUGAGUGGAAUUGCGAGUGUAGAGGUGAAAUUCGUAGAUAUUCGCAGGAACACCAGUGGCGAAGGCGGCUCACUGGCUCGAUACUGACGCUGAGGUGCGAAGGCGUGGGAAGCAAACAGGAUUAGAGACCCCCGUAGUCCCUGUCUCUUAUAC
RNAcentral lists this ribosomal RNA (301 nucleotides) under uncultured bacterium. RNAcentral describes it as "partial 16S ribosomal RNA". It matches the Rfam family "Bacterial small subunit ribosomal RNA", at positions 509 to 807 of the family's 1533-position model. The record is from RNAcentral.